RNAcentral lists this ribosomal RNA (492 nucleotides) under uncultured bacterium. RNAcentral describes it as "partial 16S ribosomal RNA". It matches the Rfam family "Bacterial small subunit ribosomal RNA", at positions 29 to 507 of the family's 1533-position model. The record is from RNAcentral.
AGUGAACGCUGGCGGUAGGCCUAACACAUGCAAGUCGAACGGCAGCACAGUAAGCGCUUGCCCUUACGGGUGGCGAGUGGCGGACGGGUGAGGAAUACAUCGGCAUCUACUUUUUCGUGGGUGAUAACGUAGGGAAACUUACGCUAACACCGCAUACGACCUACGGGUGAAAGCAAGGGAUCUUCGGACCUUGCGCGAUUGAAUGAGCCGAUGUCGGAUUAGCUAGUUGGCGGGGUAAAGGCCCACCAAGGCGACGAUCCGUAGCUGGUCUGAGAGGAUGAUCAGCCACACUGGAACUGAGACACGGUCCAGACUCCUACGGGAGGCAGCAGUAGGGAAUAUUGGACAAUGGGCGCAAGCCUGAUCCAGCCAUACCGCGUGAGUGAAGAAGGCCUUCGGGUUGUAAAACCCUUUUGUUAGGAAAGAAAAGCAGCAGGUUAAUACCCCGCUGUUCUGACGGUACCCAAAGAAUAAGCACCGGCUAACUUCGUG